RNAcentral lists this long non-coding RNA (946 nucleotides) under Homo sapiens (human). RNAcentral's name for it is "long intergenic non-protein coding RNA 3156". Lineage: Eukaryota; Metazoa; Chordata; Mammalia; Primates; Hominidae. The record is from RNAcentral.
UUGACAGUUUGGCUUCCCUGUUCUGGGUGGCAAAGCCUGUGGAGUACUCACCUACCUGCUGCAUGAAGGCAGCAUGGAGGGACUGUGGUGGAUUAUCUGCAAAGAUGGCCAAAAUUCUCUCAUCCCUGCAGGCACAUACAAGGUUGUUGCAUGGCAUAAGUAAAGUGACAGUUAUAGGAUACAUGCAACUUUUCAGUGACAAAGAUCUGUGCAGCAUCGACAGUACUGCCUAAUGAGGUUUCACCAUAAUGAAGUAUCACAACCAGUUUACAGACCAGAAAACUGAGACACAGGAAGGGGUGGUGACUUGAGCAAGGUGCAUCAGCUGGUUUCCAGAAGUUCCCCAGUCAUUGAGCAUUUCUGAGGCUCUUGAUGCAUAUGCCAAGUAGUUAUGGAGAAAGACACAGCAGCUUACCUCUGCAGGCAUCAUUGUGUGAAAGGAAGACCCAGGCUCUCUCACCACCCUUGAACAGAAGCCUUUUGCUAAGGUGAUAGCUACAUGUCCAAGCCUAUUGCGUGGCAUGCAUUUUGCCUUCUGCAGCCCACUAAAGGAAAUUGAAGUAUACAGAAUGCUUAUUUGGUCUACUCAGUAUCAUCCUAAAUGUAUGUACCAAUGCUUAGGAGUUUGCAGUUCACCCGCAAACCUCAGCGAUCCAAGCUCCCCUGGAUGACCAUCACUCACCAAGAAAAGAGCAAUAACAGGACCUGUUUUGCUAAUCCAGGACUGUUCUCCAGCACUAACUCUAAAUAAUCCCUUCUGCUAGAGUCCACUUUCUGGAACCUGUUGGAGAAGACAUCUUACUCUUAUUGGAUCAUGCACAGUGCCUGAAGCAUUCUGUUGCAUGUAGAAGGCAACAGAAAGAAACUGAGGGUCUGCUAUUUGUCUCCAGAGGCCUUACAAACUGGUAGAAGAUGCAUAACAGAAGAGCUUAUGAAGUUAAAGAUG